Molecule: ribosomal RNA, 451 nt
Filed under: uncultured bacterium
Lineage: Bacteria
Description: partial 16S ribosomal RNA
Rfam family: Bacterial small subunit ribosomal RNA
Source: RNAcentral
GUGGGGAAUAUUGGACAAUGGGGGGAACCCUGAUCCAGCCAUGCCGCGUGUGUGAAGAAGGCCUUUUGGUUGUAAAGCACUUUAAGUGGGGAGGAGGCUUACCUGGUUAAUACCUAGGCUAAGUGGACGUUACCCACAGAAUAAGCACCGGCUAACUCUGUGCCAGCAGCCGCGGUAAUACAGAGGGUGCGAGCGUUAAUCGGAUUUACUGGGCGUAAAGCGCGCGUAGGUGGUUAAUUAAGUCAAAUGUGAAAUCCCCGAGCUUAACUUGGGAAUUGCAUUCGAUACUGGUUAGCUAGAGUAUGGGAGAGGAUGGUAGAAUUCCAGGUGUAGCGGUGAAAUGCGUAGAGAUCUGGAGGAAUACCGAUGGCGAAGGCAGCCAUCUGGCCUAAUACUGACACUGAGGUGCGAAAGCAUGGGGAGCAAACAGGAUUAGAAACCCUAGUAGUCC